Cinara cedri is the source of this 230-nucleotide non-coding RNA. Lineage: Eukaryota; Metazoa; Arthropoda; Insecta; Hemiptera; Aphididae. The record is from the annotation of a GenBank genome assembly.
UGGAUUUCCCAGUUAGUCUAUUUGUUGUCGUACAUGUGUACAUACGACUUUAAUGUUUUCGUUGGAAAUCAACAUUUCAGUAUACAUUUUAGAUUCCGAGUGAAGCGAAGAAGUUUAUGGUUUUUGAAAGAUGUUUAUUUUUUUUCUGGGGACAAUUUUUCUACCCGAGUUCAUGCUCCGAUUUUCAGGUGUAGCACCUUUUAUGAAAGGAAAUUGAUAUCGGGAGGUCA